This 460-nucleotide ribosomal RNA is filed under the name uncultured bacterium. Its description in RNAcentral is "partial 16S ribosomal RNA". It matches the Rfam family "Bacterial small subunit ribosomal RNA", at positions 338 to 795 of the family's 1533-position model. The record is from RNAcentral.
CCUACGGGAGGCAGCAGUGAGGAAUAUUGGUCAAUGGACGAAAGUCUGAACCAGCCAAGUAGCGUGAAGGAUGACUGCCCUAUGGGUUGUAAACUUCUUUUAUACAGGAAUAAAACGAGGCACGUGUGCCUUUUUGCAUGUACUUUAUGAAUAAGAAUAGGCUAACUCCGGGCCAGCCGCCGCUGUAAUACGGCGGAUACGAGCGUUCUCCGGAUUUAUUGGGUUGAAAGGGAGCGUAGAUGGGUUGUUAAGUCAGUUGUUAAAGUUUGCGGCUCAACCGUAAAAUUGCAGUUGAUACUGGCAGUCUUGAGUACAGUUGAGGUAGGCGGAAUGCGUGGUGUAGCGGUGAAAUGCUUAGAUAUCACGAAGAACCCCGAUUGCGAAGGCAGCUUACUAAACUGUGACUGACAUUGAUGCUCGAAAGUGUGGGUAUCAAACAGGAUUAGAUACCCUUGUAGUC